GGUUGUUAAACAACAAUCACUUCCAGCCAGACUGUAGAUUUGGUUUGCGACAUCUCGUUGACAAACAUGUAGUUGUUUCUUGUGAUGGUUCUGAUCGGCCUGUUGACCGCUCAAUCUGUCACUGCACGAGGGAGACAUGGCAGAACGGAACGGCCUGCAGGAAUUAGAGGGUUACGAAGGUUAUCAAGAUCAAAGUUGGAUUAUCGGCCGCCGACGGGAUUUGGUGGCGGUCUCUCACGGAUGUUGUUAAAGAAAAAUGGAUGAGAUGUAAUCAUAUGACGGAAUGAUGAGGAGACGCCGAGAGAAACAUGCGCACAACGA
Haliotis rubra (blacklip abalone) is the source of this 321-nucleotide long non-coding RNA. RefSeq lists it as uncharacterized. The transcript has 3 exons. Lineage: Eukaryota; Metazoa; Mollusca; Gastropoda; Lepetellida; Haliotidae. The record is from RefSeq and is a predicted model, not a curated record.